This 114-nucleotide ribosomal RNA is filed under the name uncultured Pseudomonadota bacterium. RNAcentral's name for it is "uncultured proteobacterium partial 16S ribosomal RNA". It matches the Rfam family "Bacterial small subunit ribosomal RNA", at positions 336 to 449 of the family's 1533-position model. Lineage: Bacteria; Pseudomonadati; Pseudomonadota. The record is from RNAcentral.
CUCCUACGGNAGNCAGCAGUGGGGAAUAUUGGACAAUGGGCGNAAGCCUGAUCCAGCCAUACCGCGUGUGUGAAGAAGGCCUUAGGGUUGUAAAGCNCUUUCAGNAGGGAGGAA